RNAcentral lists this ribosomal RNA (855 nucleotides) under uncultured bacterium. Its description in RNAcentral is "bacterial SSU rRNA". It matches the Rfam family "Bacterial small subunit ribosomal RNA", at positions 43 to 875 of the family's 1533-position model. The record is from RNAcentral.
CGUGCCUAAGACAUGCAAGUCGAACGUGAUUGGGGAGCUUGCUCCUCAUGAAAGUGGCGCACGGGUGAGUAACGCGUAGAUAAUCUACCUGAUGAUUUGGGAUAACACUUCGAAAGGGGUGCUAAUACCGAAUAAGCCCACGGAGUCCUUGGACACUGCGGGAAAAGGAGGGGACCUUCGGGCCUUCCGUCAUCAGAUGAGUCUGCGUACCAUUAGCUAGUUGGUAGGGUAAAGGCCUACCAAGGCGACGAUGGUUAGCUGGUCUGAGAGGAUGAUCAGCCACACUGGAACUGAGACACGGUCCAGACUCCUACGGGAGGCAGCAGUGGGGAAUUUUGCGCAAUGGGGGAAACCCUGACGCAGCAACGCCGCGUGAGUGAUGAAGGCCCUUGGGUCGUAAAGCUCUGACAGAGGGAAAGAAAUGUGGGUGGCUAAUAUCCAUUCCACUUGACGGUACCCUCAAAGGAAGCACCGGCUAACUCCGUGCCAGCAGCCGCGGUAAUACGGAGGGUGCGAGCGUUGUUCGGAUUUAUUGGGCGUAAAGCGCGUGUAGGCGGUUUUAUAAGUCUGAUGUGAAAGCCCUGGGCUCAACCUGGGAAGUGCAUUGGAUACUGUAAGACUUGAAUACGGGAGAGGGUAGUGGAAUUCCUGGUGUAGGAGUGAAAUCCGUAGAUAUCAGGAGGAACACCGGUGGCGAAGGCGGCUGCCUGGACCGAUAUUGACGCUGAGACGCGAAAGCGUGGGUAGCAAACAGGAUUAGAUACCCUGGUAGUCCACGCCGUAAACGAUGAGUACUAGGUGUUGCGGGUAUUGACCCCUGCAGUGCCGCAGCUAACGCAUUAAGUACUCCGCCUG